Molecule: long non-coding RNA, 12106 nt
Organism: Balaenoptera acutorostrata (minke whale)
Lineage: Eukaryota; Metazoa; Chordata; Mammalia; Artiodactyla; Balaenopteridae
Exons: 10
Source: RefSeq, a predicted model, not a curated record
UUCUCCUCCCAUUCCCAAGUACCAUCAAGUUUCUUCCUAGAGCGCUAAAUUGGCUUUUUUGAUUCCUGCCAAAUCUUGCUCAGGGAAACCACCUAUGGUCUCAAAGUUGUGUUACUAUUUCCAUAUAUUUUGUGAAUAUUUUCCUUUUGAAAAGAACAACUCCUCCUGCUCCUUUUUCAUCCAUGUGACGUCACACAUGCAUACAUGAAAGAUGAAGUUGUGACCUGUCCUUUUUAUUCUUUGCCCUACAAGCUCAGGACCUGAUGCUAUUGCCAUAUUCUUACACUUGUAAAUACAGCAAAUGGGCUCAUUUCUCGAGUGCCCUCUCUGUGCCUGGCCCUGUAUCUGGGACCUCAGAGAGGGCGGUGAAUAUAACGGACGUGAACCCUGCCCUCAAGGGGUUUAUGUUACCCCUGCCGCCAGCAGGAUCUCUUAGCUCUGCCGAGCUCCCCAGUUACCAGGGCAACAGCACUUUCGGAUGGGUAAGGAGUUCUGACAAAUGUGCGGUAUCAUACACAGUUCUGCAAACAAAGCCAUUUAUUUUAGGCUGAAGCAUUUGCAGCAAAAUUUGAAUAAUUUAUCUGGAAUGUGUCAGAUUGAAUGCUUUAUGAUAUCUUUUUGGUUUUCUUUGGUAGAAUAUUUAUACAGUAAAAGCUCUGUUAUCCUAGAUGUCUCAACUAACUCUCUGCCAGUCACUGCAAACAAGAUGUAUGGACUAAACAGGGAGAUGGUCCCAAGAAUCUGAGCCUGUCUGAGAGAAGUAUUAUAGGUCAUUACUGAAGUGAAUCAGGAGGAUCUGAAGGAUGUUUUACUCAGUGCUCUAAGGUAGAGGUCCCCAACCUUUUUGGCACCAGGGACCGGUUUUGUGGAAGACAGGUUUUCCAUGGAUGGGCGUGGGGGAGUGGGGGACGGUUCAGGCGGUAAUGCGAGCGAUGGGGAGAGAUGGGAAGCGGCAGGUGAAGCUUCGCUCGCUGGCCCGCCGCUCACCUUCUGCUGUGCCGCCCGGUUCCUAAAAGGCCGCGAACCAGUACCGGUCCAUGGCCCAGGGGUUGGGGAACCCUGCUCUAAGGUCUUGGGACAGAAAUAACAAAAAAGAGGUUUUGCUGGGCCACAGCUGCUACUAAAUGUUACCCAUUCUGAACCAAAGAACUAGAAACAUCCCUGAUCCCACCCUCCUCAACCCAAGAAAAAAUACUGAGUCCUGAAAUUCCCAUUAAAAAUGGAAUCCUCUUGGUUAAGUUGGCAUCGCUCUUGGAAAGAGGGUCAGUCAAUCCAGGAGGACCAUCCGCAUACUUGGGCUUGCCAUUAACCUUUCCUAGGAUUCAUGUGUGCAGGGCCCAGCCAGCACGGUUUGCUGAGAGAAUGAGACACCACAGGUGAGCAUCACUGGUUCAAAGCCUGGAGGGAGGAAGAGAAAGAUGCUGGGCAGCCUUGCCUGGAAAGGCCUGGACAGCCCCAGCCCCAAGAGAGCACUUUAAGCGUGGAGGCAUCUGGAGAUGAGUGGCUGCUCAACUCUGCAGGGGGCUCUUGUUUGCCUCUAAGUGAUUUCUGAUAUAUUUCCAAGCACAAAAUCAAACUUUCUUCUUUAAGAACCUUAACGAGGGAAUUCCUUGGCCGUCCAGUGGUUAGGACUCUGCGCUUCCACUGCAGCGGCACAGGUUCCGUCUCUGGUCGGGGAACUAAGAUCCCGUAUGCCAUGUGGUGUGGCCAAACCCCCCCCCCCAAAACCAAAAUCAAAACAAAACAAAACAAAUCAAAACAAAAAAGAAUCUUAACGAAUGUUCCUGCAUGUGUCCUAGGUUUUUCUACGACAGGGAUGUUUUGGACAUCUCUUGUCCUUGCCCAGGCUGAGGCAGGAGAGGUGAGGUGCAGCACCCUACAGCCCCAGAAGGGCCUCGUCAGAGCACACUGUGCUGGGAGGUCACGGGUGGCAGAAACUGCUGGCCUCUCUUUACACAGCCCACAGGAAACAUUUGCAUGUCUAACACUUUCUGCACAAAGCGGCCCAUGGUAGCAAUGCCCGGAUAUGGUUCCCAAGCUGUUCAUGGCACUGCUUUGUGAUUCAUCUUUCUACACAGUCUCUGGGAGUCCAGUGGGGGGAUCCAAACCUUCCUGUUGUCUAUGUUCGUAAUGCUGGGAGAACUAAAUGACACCGAAAAUUCUGGAAAUGAGGAGAAAGAGACUAGAACCACAAGCACCAGGCAGAUGAAGAGAGAGAAGAGUCGUUUAGGAGCAACUUUGACCUACCUCAUCAGUCCAAGGUUUUUGAUUUAUGUAAGCUGUGCCUUAUCGAUAUGGGUUUGGCAAGGCAUUCUCUGAAAGCACAGCACUGAAAAAGCUAACUUAUUUAAAAUCUGGACUGUUGGUCCUUAGGCCAUAUUGAUAACUUCAGUCACAAAUUAAAGAAGAGUGUGAUAUGUCAGUAAAAAAUUUGGUCAUGUCUUGCUCUUCACUCAGAAUGCCUCUAUCACCACCUGCUGUGCGGUCCUGAUGCUUGUGUUCUCAUACAGAAGGGAGCUGGAGCAAGUAUGGCAAGGCUGGUUCACUGUGUUUGGUCCUUUGACCUCACUGUGAGCCAGCUUCUUCAGGAGAACAUUCUGGAAACAGAGCGAGGGGCUGUGAACGGUGUGCAGUGUUCCCUGAACUACCUCAUGGGCCUCAUCCACUUCGUCCUGGUCAUGCUGGCCCCGCAGCGUGUUCGGCAUGCUGGUCUUCAUCUCCACCCUGUUUGUAACCACGGGCCAAGUGCUGUAUUUUUUUAAUGCAAGGAAGGGUAAGAUUACAAAUGCCCAUGCUCAGAAGACAGCGAAGAAGUGCACUUCAACCUGAGAGGUAGGCAGCACCUCUGACCACUCAGAGCCCUACUAACACUGGCCCCAUGUCACUGUUUCCGGUGAUUUCCCCGAGUUGCUACUGGGUGCUUACCUUGUUCCACUGCUACAUUUGAGAGCAAUUAUGUCACCAUCACCUUUGGCAAUAGCAUCAACUGCUUUAAAUGCAUCUUUGGGGUGAUGGCUACAAGCCAGAGUUUGAAAGGGGUCUGACUCGUGGCACGCCCAUUAACAACUCAGAUUCCACUCCAGACAACUUGAAGGGGCUUGUUUUAAUUUUGCCAACACAAUUCAACGUUUUCAGGUUUUUAUUGUUCUUUGGGUUCUAAAAUUAGGCAGGAUCUUCUGGUCAGUAUUAAAAUUAGAGUUAGAUCACGGUCAGUGAUGUUUGGUCUCAGUUCCUUGGGUUUUUGUUCUACAGCUGGUUUGUGAAUGUCCUUUUGACGGGCUGUGUGCCCCUCACAAGGACUGAAGCUAUCUGUUGAAUUAGAUCAUGGUAACAACCUUUGGGUGGUUUCUGGGGUCUAGGGUCAGGCCAGGGAUCUGACGAUCCCUCAGCUGACUUGGGCAAGCUUCGUCUCAGCAAUCAAGCUAAGACAUCCAGUUUGACCACCACUGAUUAAGAAAACCACUAGUUUGUGAUGAGCAAAAUUUGAGUUUCUGGCUGCUUAGAAGCAUAAAACUACCUUCUGGGGAGCCUAAAAGAAAACCCAUAUAGCUCUUUGCUUUAAAUAAUGAAUUGCUUCUUUGUAAAUGCUGUGGAAUAGAAAUUCACUUAGCAGUGAGAACAAUGAGGCUAGCAAUGAAGGCUCCUCAGGCCUCAAAAUACAGAGAACCUUUCUGGGGGUCGGGGGGGAGUCACAUUUGGGGAAUGGCCUGUAGCACACUCAGUACCACCUUAGCAGGUUGGUGCUGUUGGGAAUGACAUUUUCUAAGACAGGGUUUCUCAACCUCUGCACUGUUGACAUUUUGGAUCAGAUACUCCUUUGGUGUGGAGGCGGUCCUGUGCAUUGUAGGACACUCUGCAGCAUCUCUGGUCUCUACCCACUAGAUGGAGGGAGAAGCCCACACCCACACACUUGUGAGCAUCAUAGGUGUCUUCAGACAUUACCCAAUGUCCCCAGGGAGGGUAAAAUACUCCUCCCCCCAUACCCCCUCUUAAGAACCACUGCUUAAAGGAAAUGUGAAACCUAAAGGAAAAAUCCACCUGUUGUUAAAAGACAAAAAUGACCAAAAGUCAUUCACAGUAAGGAAAUCACAAAAGGGAAUUUUGCACAGACCUGCUUCUUAGAGCUGAGUUGAGUGAAAACAAGGGAAGGAGAGAAUUUUGGGAACAUUUUGCUUAACAUAAGGUACUUUGAAAAAAACUGUACUGUAUAUAAGUUCUGGUACUACUUAUGGUGCCACCUCCCCCAAUCUUUCCUUUUCCAAGAAAAAACCUAAAGGCUACGUUACUACACACACACACACACACACACACACACACACACACACACAACCAACUAGGUCAGGAAACCAGAACUGUUCCUCGCAUAGAUUCUUCACUAAGGAGGCUGUAUUUUGAGGAGGUAGCACAUCACGUCUCCUGGCCCUUAAUUAGCCCAAUGAACACACAAGGACUUGCACAGGCGAGUCUCGGAACAAGUGUUUAAUAAAUCCAUCCUGAAGUCUUUUAUUUAAAACCUCCAGAAGUGCUAGCAGCUUGAGUGUAGAAUUUAUGUCAAGUCUUCUAAGUACCACUGGCUCUCUACACCUGCACCUCCUGCCCUUGAAAAAUUAGCUGCUUACCUGUAAAUUCUGCAUUUUAAGUGCUAAUUUUACUCUUGCUUUUCCUCCAGGCCUUGUAGAGUAGGACAGCAACAUCUUUCUAUUGGAUCGUGGAACGACUAUCUCCAUGUUUCCAUGAAUAUUUCAUGUUUUAGACCAGUACUGCCCAACAGAAAUAUAAUGCAAAUCACAUUUAUAUAAUUUUAAUAAUAUAUUUCUAAAAUAUUAUCAUUUAACUUGUAAUCAAUAUAAAACUGAGAUUUUACAUUCUUUUUUAUUGAAGUAUAGUUGAUUUAUAGUAUUGUGUUAGGUACAGGUAUAUAGCAUAGUGACUCGGUAUUUUUGCAGAUUUUAUUCCACUCUAGGUUACUAUAAGAUAAUGGGUAUAAUUUCCUGUGCUAUACAGUAUAUCUUUGUUGCUUAUCUAUUUUACAUAUAGCAACUUGUAUCUGUUAAUCCCAUACCCCUAAUUUGUCCCUUCCCACUUCCUUCUCCCCUUUGGUAACCACAAGUUUUGUUUUCUGUAUCUGUGGAAUCUAAAAAAUAAUACAAAUGAUUGUAGAUGCAUUUUAAAAAAAUAUUAAUUCUUCCAAAGCUGAUGUUUCUUACACCUCAGCAUGUCAAUUUGCACUAGACACAUUUCAAAUGCUCAAUAGCCAUAUGUGGCUAGUGGCUACUGUACUGGAGUACAGUUUGGACUCUGUGAUGAUUCCCAAAGUUCCACAUAUUUCUCCACUAUAGGAAGCCUAUAAAUGAUACAAUGGGCUCUAUUCUGCCAGGUAGUGGGGGUAACAUGCCAGAGCAUUUGUCCAACUGGAAAAUCAUUCCAUCAACUACAACAUUCUGAUCUGUUUUCCAGAAACAAUUCAUGGUGACAUACAUCAACCUGAACUGACUGGAUUUUGUCUCUUUAUCUCUGAAACAGAUUGAUGUGCAGCUGUUCUGGAAAUGCAGAUGGCAACUGGGGAGGGUACCUCAAGAUAAUUGGCCCUUGCUGUACAGACAAACUCAAGCAGGGGGCUUUCUAGCCGUGGUUGCAUAGUCCCAGAUAAGUCACAAUUUUAUAACAAAAUAUCAGAAUCCGAAAUCACAAUUUUAUAACAAAAUAUGAGAAUCAGAACUUUUCAGUUUAUGAACACAAGGUAAAUUUUGGAAAGGCAAUCCUUAUGAGUACAAAAUUAAAAUAAGCCUUUCAUACACAUCUCUGGCUGUUUAUUUGUUCUCAACAUGGCUUUCCUCUUGAGGUGUUAUCCCUGACCUUGGCUCACAGGGGUCACUGGUUGACUGACCUUACUACCCUGGUCAAAUGCCUCAGUCUUUACUAUCUCUAGAUCCCCCUGUUUAGUUAUCUGGACACCUUCUCUGUUCUACUUCUUCCUUCAAGGUACUUCAGAUCAUGAGGGAGAAAAAGCAUCUUCUCACUUGGGUUCCAGGGAGCCUAGAAUGUAAAUGACCCUGCCCCCUCCACCUCGUCCAUUUAAAAUUUAUAUUCAAGUGCCAAAUGACCAACUUGCCAACCGGAUUUCCUCUGGCUCCUAGGAAGCUCAGAGCCAAAUUGGCGGGAGCCUAAAGCAUGAGGUCUAAUGGUUUGGUUUUAUACCCUGCUCUCUUCUUGCUGAGCUUUUAUUCCCUCCUCUAAUUAUUGUAUUGUUUGCUAUUUGUUUAUAAGCCACCCCAGAUCAUUCUGGGAAUGUGGUGGGGGUAUAAAUAGAUAUAAUACUCUCUUUAUAGUUUGUCCUAACAAUUGAAUCUUUCAGAUAUUGACUCAGAUACUGAGUGAAGUUAUUCCUUAAAAGAGAGGUUGAGGGAGGCACAUUCUAACCAGCUUCAUCUUACCAAGUGUCACAGAUAAACCACACCGUGUAAGUUCCAUAAAGGCAGGAAUCAUCCAUCACAGGACUUAACACACAAGAGAAACACAGUAAAUAUUUACCAAAUUAUAUAAAUACUUGUUUGUGGAACCUCAAAUAAAAAUACAUACCUUAGUUUGGAAUAUUCACUUGAACUACAAAGACCUGUUUUGUUUUUGUUUUUUUUAAAAAUAUUUAUUUAUUUAAUUGCACAGGGUCUUAGUUGUGGCAUGUGAACUCUUGGUUGCAGCAUGCAUGUGGGAUCUAGUUCCCUGACCAGGGUUCCAACCUGGGCCCCCUGCAUUGGGAGUACGGAGUCUUAUCCACAGCGCCACCAGGGAAGUCCCAAGACCUGCUUGCUUUUUUUUUUUUUUUUUUUUUUAAAUGACAUUUUCGGCACACAUCUCAACUAUCUAUUUUUAAUUUAUUUAUUUAUUUUUGGCUGUGCUGGGUCUUCGGUUCGUGCGAGGGCUUUCUCUAGUUGCGGCAAGUGGGGGCCACUCUUCAUCGCGGUGCGGGGACCGCUCUUCAUUGCGGUGCGCGGGCCUUUCACUAUCGCGGCCCCUCCCGUUGCGGGGCACAGGCUCCAGACGCGCAGGCUCAGUAGUUGUGGCUCACGGGCCCAGCUGCUCCGUGGCAUGUGGGAUCUUCCCAGACCAGGGCUCGAACCCGUGUCCCCUGCAUUAGCAGGCAGAUUCUCAACCACUGCGCCACCAGGGAAGCCCGUGCUUGCUUUUAAGAAACAAAAACUACUUGUUUUUAAAAAUGGAAUAUGCGCAUUAUUGAAUCUAAUUAUAUGACUCAAUCUACCUGAACUGACAUAGUGAUGGCACUACUGCCAAUACCAGACAAGUGACAUCUGGGGAGGUUAGUGACUGGAGUUCUUAUGUAAGAUUUGACAUUUUCAGUGAAACCAUAACCAGUGAAUAGAAUUGUAUUCCAAUCACAUUUUCUUUUAUAGUCGUAAAGAUUCUCUUCAUGACCAUAACUCCUCCCUUGGAACUAAUAAAUCCUCUGAAAACAUUUCAUUCAGCUCCAGAUUUGCUUCACUUCUCCUCAGGGCACUUGAGCACAAAAGAAUGGCCUGGUAAUUUUAAUAGUCAUGCUGGCCAUCUUUUCACUCUUGCUUUAGCUCUUCUCAACAUGUAGGUAUGUGCUAUGCCAAGGAGGGCAAGUUGACUGCAGCCCUGGGACUGGCUGCAACUCACUUUGGUGAUCCUAGGCUGUACUUAAUCAAGGUGCUAGAUAACUCUGUAUUGCCACGGUACAGGGAAGGGAGUUGGGGGGAGAUGGAGCAGGUUAUGUACCACACCUGGAAGCACAAGGAGGCAUCUGCAGGCACUGCUUCAUCCUACAGGCAAGAUGGCCCAACACAGCUGCCAGUGCCCACGGUCAUGGUGGGUAGGGCUCAACAGGCUCCGUGGCUAGACCUGUUACCCACAGGAAAGAACAGUGACUCACAGCCAAUACUUGGCCCAUCCUUUUUUUUUUUUUUUUAAGGAAAUAACAUCUUAUUUAACUGUUUAUUGCUUGAAAUUUUUUUUGGGCCACACUGUUAGGUAUGUGGAACUUCCCCAACCAGGGAUCGAACCAGUGCCCCCUGCAGUGGAAGCUCAGAGCCUCAACCAUUGGACCACCAGGGAAGUCCCCAUCCCUCUUUUCAAAAACACCCUUGAAUAUCCCCAGAGAAAAAGUAAUCCAUGUGACUUAUGCAUCAAGCUUUGAGAUUAACCCAAACCCAAUUACUCAGCACCCAGAACCUCACUUACUCCCUAAUUCUCUCACUUAAUUCCCUGUUUUAGCCAGUAUCGGCCAAAGCCAUUCUAAAUUUUGUUGGGUAACAAUUUUCACACUUCAUUUUCUGCUACCAUGUCGCCACUAGUGUACAUUGUCAAGAGAUGCAGAGAAAAGUGCCAGGCCGCUCACACCCUGCCAAAUGGGAUUGAAAAUGCAGCUGUUAAGACGAUGAGUGUGUGCUGUUGCCUGAACCAUCCAUAAAGAGAACCUGUACACCCUUGAUGGGUGAGCAUAUACACUGAUGGUUUCUUGAGUAUUUAUUUGUGCACGAGUCACUUACAUGACCCCAAGGUAAUUUUGAUGUUUUUGCCCCUCUAAUCUCAGUAAAUCAUUCAAUUACUGACCUAAGACUGUCUUCCCACAGAUUGCAUUGGAAAUGUCAUUAAGAUGCCGGAAAGGGUAAGUUUUUAAAGCCAUGUUUAUUGAAGUUGAAUUUACAUUCAGUAAAACUCACUCCAAAAUGUGACCAAGGCAAUCAGCACCAUAAUCAAAGUGUAGAGCAGUUCUUCAACACACCCCCCCCACCCACGACCAAACCCUAUGCAGCAAACUCCUCCCUGCUCCUUAGGAAUCCACUGAUACCAUUGUCUGUCAAAGGGGUCAAAUUUAAUCAUCAAAAUAAUCUAUUAUAGGAAAAACUGUAAACACAAAAAAACAAGUUUUUAAAAGGAUACUUUGAAACAUACAAAGUUUAGAAUAGUCAAAAGUAUGGGAUUUAGAACUAACCUUUGUAAAUUCAAGCAGCUGACAGUUUUCUUAAGAUAGCUGUAUUGAUAGAAUAGCUAGUGUAGUUACUAUGUUGAGCUUCAGGCUGGGGUUGGUUGGCAGAAAAAUGAUUUUAAAUAGUUUAAAUGGAAUUGAAUUCUACAGAAAUUCUCUAUGGGGCAGAUACAUGUUCUUGCAGAUAUUUGGCACCUUUUCAAAAGUCCUCCCCUGCUACCACCAUGAAAGGGACAGUAAGCAAAAACCUCUACUCUGUAUAUGUCACUCGUCACAUGUUCAAAUACACCUUAUCUCCUCGAAAAGCUUUCAAGCACCAGCCCUGUAAGAAAAGUAUCACAGUAGGUAAUUAGAGCAGCAAUUACUAAAUAAGAUGCUAUUAAGAAAAUACAGUGUCUAGGCCAUGUUCACAAAAGCAGUGCAGGUAAGGAAAAUGAAUUCCCCAAUGUACUACACAUUGUCAACACAGGCAUAGUAAUGUUCUGACAUAAAAAUGAAAAAAAAAAAGUUUUCAACUCAAAAUCCUAUUUUCCUAAUGCUAGCAAUUCACCCUCAGCCUCUGGAAGAGUCUAACUCAAAAUGGCCACCAUCACCAAAGAUAAACAUCUUGAAAGAUUAGAUGCCAAUCACUUAAAAAUCCUUUUUUCCCCCCCUACAACAACCUUUUUCUGUACAUAAUAAAGUAUUACCUAUUUCCUAGAGCCCCCUCACCACCACCAUUUUAUUUAAAACAUACUUUUUAAAGGUGGGGAGGGGUGUGAUUGCACUUAAUAAAUUCCUACGUAUCAUGUUGGCCUCAGGUAAAUCCUUUAACCCAUCAGAGCAGGAUAUCCAAUCAGAUUAGAGUUCUCAUCCUUGGCCAAGAAUUCUAUUCGUAUUUAUUAACUCAAGCCAAAUUCUUUCCAUUUGGUCCAUACCUGUUUGCCAGCAUCUUGAACUGGACUGAGCCUGGUAGGAAAUUGAGAAAAACAAUGUUAAGAAUAUCAUAUGCUAACUUUUUAUGGUUUUGUGUGUGUGUAUGUGUGUGUUUGGUAAAGAGUCUUUUAUUGGGGUACCUACCAGCUACCUUUGAUGAAUAAAAAGCUACCUUUAAGUAGAGUUACUGUAAAGCAGCUACAUUCUCCAAACUUCCUGACACUGGGAAUCUCCUGUAAUUUCCAGCCAGGAGUAAAAUAAGUAGUGAACUAAGUGCCAAUACUCUGGGAAUCCAUUUUACAGAAAGUCAGCAGUCAUCAACUUUCCUACUUUCCAAUCUCCCUGUUACAGUUGCAUGGAACAUUAUCAAUUUGGAAAAAAAUAAACAUGACUGGCAACAGUAUUUACCUAGGAAAGAGGGAAACAAACUUUUAACAUUUAAAAAAACCAAAGGAAGCCUGAGACUUGCUUACCCAGAGGCGCAGGCAGAGCCCAGGGAGUGGGCAACAGUCCUCAGCACUUGCUCAGUUUCCACAGUCCUUAAACAGACACUGGCUCAGGCUCCUGCUUCCUUGACCUGCUGCCUGGCUCUCUCAGCCCAUGUCCCUCUCCCAGAGGGAACCAUUUGGCUCAACAGGAAUCCCCAACAUCUAAACCAAUUGUAAAACAAAGCCUGACCACUGCAUUUCUCUCUGUGGUAGUGCCGUUCACCAGAGAUACAGGUAGUCGGGGCAGGGAAAACUGUGUGUUCCCACCCCAUAUAUAUGGCUGGAAAGGGGGUGCCUAGGACAGUUUGCAACGCUGCACCUUGUUUCCUCUUUAAAAGCAUGAUAAAAUUGAUGUCCCAUUCGGUUUCCUAAUUAGUAAAAUUAGUUAUUUUCUGAUCAGUAAAAGGGUCUUUCACCACUGAGGCAAAUAUAUAAAACACCCCACAAUCCUCCCAUUUCAAGAGAAGAUUACUAAGCGGUACCCAUGAUAGCUAUAACGAUUCCUUCAUUUCAUUCCCUCAACUCUAAAUUUAGAUCUUUACAAAUUUUAUUGAAUUUGGAGAGUAAACCUUUCUAUAGGAAUGUAUAGCAGUAAAACACAGUAAAAAUGCCCACUGAUGCUGAAGAGAGCCACACCGAAACUUAGAAACUCUUCCUUCAGACAAACUUUCUCUAGGGCAACCUUUCCUCUUUAUCUUGGCGGACACAAGUCAGAACCCCAACGGUGCCGACUUUUUCCCAGGACAGACAACCAUAACGAGCCUCACAGCCUAAAAAUGUUGGAAGAGGGUCCCAUGCUGCAUAACGCGGUGCCACUCCUGAAAAGUUGGGGGAGAAAAUUGCUCCCUCAUUAAGGCUCACAGUAGUUAACCGCUCCCGCAAGACUCAACGCCAGACCUUUUAAAGAGCCCAACCGCCGGGCGAAGUGGCAACUGGAAGGCACUUGUGGCGGGGGAGUGUCUGUGUGGGCGAAAUUACCUCCGUUUCUUGCCAACACCGGAAUUAACACUGCUCCACAAUGAAGCUUAAAAGUGUUUCAGGCCCGUGAUCUUAACCCGCUUCCUAAACUGGCCGUUCCGGGGUCGUCAGAGCCACCGGACGGGCGGCGGCCCCGCGUGCGCCUAGAACACGGACACCGUCCCGGGCUCUGCGCCUCCGUCCUGGGUGAUGUCCAACGGCUCAUCUUUCUCAGAGACGAGCAAGUCCAUCAGAAGGCUGUGAGCUGUGAAGAUUCAUGUUCUUUUUCUUCCCUCGCUGCCCAGGAUCAGUAUAAGAGUCAGGAGAUAAAGCAACCGCAGACAUCAUUUAUGAUUUAAACGGCAAUUCCAGUUGGGUAACAUUUUAAUUGGCGUCGUUGGGCCAUUUGCCACAUGCAGGUCUCUGCCCAGCAGCCUGCCUUUUCCAAGCAGCUGUAGGCUUGUUUUCAAGCCAAGAGAGAAUGUCUGCUCUCACGGAGGACUGCUGGUUUCAUUUGCCUAAAUAGAAGUGGAUGAUGGCUGAAAUGUGGCUGAUUUUAGCAAUCAGAGGGUGUACAGAAUAUCUCUGGAAGGAUGUAUAUGAAACUAGAGACAAUGGGUUGCCUCCAAGGAGAAGAUUUGAGCAGCAAAGUGUAAAAGAAAUAGAAUUAUGCUCUUUUGUACCAAUCCAUCUAUUUUUUAAAAAGAACAGGAACCAUGGCAUAGCCAGGCUUACCAACUUUGGAAUAAAGCUGGGGAAUGGAGGUUGUUCAGCCUACAGC